This is a non-coding RNA of Schistosoma mansoni, 45 nucleotides long. The record is from Rfam. Lineage: Eukaryota; Metazoa; Platyhelminthes; Trematoda; Strigeidida; Schistosomatidae.
AUCCAGCUGACGAGUUCCAAAUAGGACGAAACGCGCAUGCUGGAU